RNAcentral lists this ribosomal RNA (484 nucleotides) under uncultured bacterium. RNAcentral describes it as "bacterial SSU rRNA". It matches the Rfam family "Bacterial small subunit ribosomal RNA", at positions 15 to 507 of the family's 1533-position model. The record is from RNAcentral.
GAUCAUGGCUCAGGAUGAACGCUGGCGGCGUUGCUUAACACAUGCAAGUCGAACGAAGACAUCUGAGUGCUUGCACUUGGAUGGACUGAGUGGCGGACGGGUGAGUAACGCGUGGGUAACCUGCCUUAUACAGGGGGGAUAACAGUUGGAAACGACUGCUAAUACCGCAUAAGCGCACGGUAUCGCAUGAUACAGUGUGAAAAACUCCGGUGGUAUAAGAUGGACCCGCGUCUGAUUAGCUUGUUGGUGAGGUAACGGCCCACCAAGGCGACGAUCAGUAGCCGGCCUGAGAGGGUGAACGGCCACAUUGGGACUGAGACACGGCCCAAACUCCUACGGGAGGCAGCAGUGGGGAAUAUUGCACAAUGGGGGAAACCCUGAUGCAGCGACGCCGCGUGAGUGAUGAAGUAUUUCGGUAUGUAAAACUCUAUCAGCAGGGAAGAUAAUGACGGUACCUGACUAAGAAGCACCGGCUAAAUACGUG